Molecule: non-coding RNA, 2000 nt
Organism: Lolium perenne
Lineage: Eukaryota; Viridiplantae; Streptophyta; Magnoliopsida; Poales; Poaceae
Source: RefSeq, a predicted model, not a curated record
AGGCACGGUCGCCGCAGCCGUACCGCGCGGCCGCUCCUCCUGCUUCUCCCUGGACGACGCCCUCCUCCCCAUCCCGCGCGGGCGGGGCCCCGCGCUGCACCCCGCCGUGGUCGCCCUCGAGGACUGCAUCAUCGCCAGGGACCACGACAUCCAGGGCCUCCUCGUCGACAACCAACGUUUUCCCAUCAAGCAUCGCCGACCAGACCGCGUGCAUGAAGGUCGAGGUGAACACCGUCGCCGGCGAGCGUGGAGGUCGAGCAGAUCCUCGCCGACGUGCGGGUGCUGGCUGGCGUGCGCAUCACAUCGUCGGCGAGCCUCGCUGGUGGAGGCACACGGCGUUGUCCACAUGGAUCUGCGAAUCAGCCCACGAGCGCCGUCCGUUUCCAUCGACGAUGAAGGGCAUGCAUCAUCUGACGGAGGAGUGGAUGGGUUGGACAAGUUCUCGGAGCACUGCAAGUCAGCCUGUAUUUCCUUCCCAUUUUCAGUUUACUUGUGGCCUUUCCUGUAUUUCUAAGCCUAUGCUCUUCAUGUAAAGUGCUGCUUGUUGCUACAUCUCUGUCUGCCUUCGUAGUACCUUGUUACUCAUUGAUAAAUUAAGGUUUGAGGAAUUAUGCAUAUCCUCAACAUGCCAUCUAUCUCAUGGAACUCAUUUGUGUCUGAGUGUUGUUUCAGAAUCUAGGAGCGUGCUUACCACAAGACAGAAGUCAGAAGCACAUGCAUUUCCAAUUGAACUUGUCCCACCAAACAAUGUAAUUUAUUCAGUAAUAACUUGCCUUCAAUACUACAGGUGAUCCUUAGCAAGCUAUCCAUCUUGCCAUCAUCUGCUCGGGUCCUCUUAGCCCUCUUUGUACUGCUAUUUAGCUGAGACCUGGUAGUUAGCUGAACUCUAUUACUAUAAGAACGCUUGCUGUUGUACCAAAGCUUCCUCGUUUUUUGUUCUCAGAUGUUGCUGCUUUCAUAUUUGUCUGUGUAUCUUCAAUUUGCCUCGAAGAAGUUUCUGAUGUUACAUCCGUAAGUCAAGAGGAUUUAACAGGCACGUAAUCCUUGAAUUGUUUGCCCUGUACAGGUUGUUUGUUUGUCGUCUGAACCACUCAACCAAGAUGCUAUUAUUUGCUCCAACUCGUGUACUGAAGGGUAUAUAAGCAUCAGAGUAAGCUUAUUUUGAUGAAUAUAUGUGCAACACAGAGGUGCUUGUUUGCUCCCUUUCUUUUUAACAUAAUUUCAUAAUAUCAUAAGUUUAGUGCAAGGAUGUUGUCAAAUGUUUUUACAGAUUGUAAAAUUGUUGGAGCUGAGCGUUCUUUUAGCUAUAUAUCUCUCUCCACGCUUUCAAUCAGAUUCAGUAAGUUCAACAACAUCUGGUGAGAUUGUUACAGAUCAUCGUUGAUGGAAAUUGUGAUAUUGCUGUGAGACAGGUCGCAAGCAUUCACUUCAAGAACUUUGUUUCGAAAGCCUGUCACCUAUUGAUCCUGCUGACAAGUCCACGGAUCGUGAGAAUAUACUGGGCUUUGUUACUCAGUUAACGCUACUGUUAAGGUUAAUAACUUUUUUGCAAUCCACCUUCCAUUUUCUUAACAAGUAAACAUUUUCCUGUCAUAGCUUCUUGAUAGAAUUGUAGUGCACUGCAGUAUGUGUUUGGUUACUCUGGUAUAUUGAUGGUUCUUUUUACUGGAUACAUGUAGUUUUGAGUAAUGUAUUCACCAUGUUUAUUACUGUUGGAUUUCACUUAUUUUCCUUUACCUCGUCGAGGGAAAAUGGGCACCAUGUUUGGUUUCUGUCUAAUAGUAAUAGAAGCAGUUAAUUGCAGUUACGAAGGAUCUGCAAUCAUGAUUUCCAUUUUCCGUGUAAUAGAAGCAAUAUGUAGUAAAAUAAUAUUGACUGUGCCUUCACGAAACACAUAUAAUACAAGCCAUUCUAACUAGAAUUUCGUUAGUUCUGUAAAAAAAUUAUGGCCACUUUUCCUUUGUAUGAAACCUCCAUUUGUUGAGAAGCCUCCUACAAAA